Molecule: ribosomal RNA, 431 nt
Filed under: uncultured bacterium
Lineage: Bacteria
Description: partial 16S ribosomal RNA
Rfam family: Bacterial small subunit ribosomal RNA
Source: RNAcentral
AACGAACGCUGGCGGCAGGCUUAACACAUGCAAGUCGAGCGCCCCGCCAGGGUAGCGGCUGCCGGGUGAGUAACGCGUGGGGACGUACCUUUUGGUUCGGAACAACUCCGGGAAACUGGAGCUAAUACCGGAUAAGCCCUAACGGGGAAAGAUUUAUCGCCGAAAGAUCGGCGCGCGUCUGAUUAGCGAGUUGGUGAGGUAACGGCACACCAAGGCGACGAUCAGUAGCUGGGCUGAGAGGAGGAUCAGCCACACUGGGACUGAGACACGGCCCAGACUCCUACGGAACGCAGCAGUGGGGAAUAUUGGACAAUGGGCGCAAGCCUGACCCAGCCAUGCCGGGUGAGUGAUGAAGGCCUUAGGGUUGUAAAGCUAUUUUGUCCGGGAAGAUAAUGACUGUACCGGAAGAAUAAGCCCCGGCUAACUUCGUG